UUCGAUAUAUAUGAAAUAUUUCCUUGAUUAUAUAUCAUGUACCUACCUAUUGGCACUCUCACUGUGUCGUGUAGUCUUCCUGCUAGCUGAAUGCGUUCUUGGCAUCAGCUACUGACUGCGAUAUGGGCGACUGUGUGUAAUAAAUGUCUUGAGGUUUUGUGAGAGGAUGGAUAAUAGUUGUUCAACUGUAAAAUUGUAAUCUUAUAAAUGUAUCAUAAUGUAAUCUAAACUUUCAUGGCGCAUUAGUUACACACUGUAGGUAAUGGUCAUGUAAACAUGUUUUAUCAGUAUAAUAAAUAUGUAACAUUUGAUUAAGUAGAUAUACUUAUGAUCCAUAGCCAAAAUGGUAAAAACUGUCUGUUUGUCUGUCCAUAUGUCAGCUAUUUUGCUCAAAAAACUAUAAUAUUUAAAUUAUAAUUUAUAAAUAAUUAACUAUUAUUUAUAAAUCAUAUUUUAAUGACGAAGAUAGGUUGCACUUCCCAGAAGUAGUGUAAAUUUUUAAAGGGUGUGGAUUUGUGGAAUGCAGCAACUAUGUGGUUCAAGCUUAUACAUGUAGGCUUUGGUAAUCACUUUAAAAACAUGCUACUGACAUCUUUUAUCUGUCCACGUCCAGCAUGUGGAGUAAUUAUUUUAUUCUUAGUUAGGCAUAUACAUAUUAGUUUUGACUAGUUUUACAACUGGUUAUACAAGCUUAUACCAAAAAAGAACCACCUUUCAAAUAUCAUGUAUUAACAACUAAGUGGUUUUAGAUCCUGUAUACUUGUAGGAACCUAUUGUUUAUUUUUUUAGUAAAUAGUAUUUGUAUGUGUGCAUGCGUAUGUGUGUGCUUAGAAACUUUGUUUCUUACAUUUGGAGUAGUUACAGUCGCUUAGUUUCAUGAUAGUUUUUUUCUUUUUUAUAUAAUUAUAUAUAUAUAUACUAAUACUACGUCGGUGGCAAACAAGCAUAUGGCCCGUCUGAUGGUAAACAGUUUCCGUAGCCUAUGUACUCCUGCAACUCCAGAGGAGUUACAUGCGCGUUGCCGUCCCUGACACUCUGCACCCUUGUUGAGCUCUAGUAGCCUUACUCACCAGCAGGAACACAACACUAUGAGUAGGGUCUAGUGUUACUUGGCUGCGGUUCUGUAAGGUAGAGGUACUUCCCCAAUUGGGCCCUGCUCUAGAUCUGGAAUGACAUUUGCUAUGCUGUGCUCUCUUUUUAUUUGUUUCUUGAAGCCAUUUUGGAAUUACUGUUUUUCAGUGAUGGUCAUUUUUUCCAUGUGUAUUAAGAUAGAUAGUUAGCCCCAUUACAUUACUUUUUUACAGCGGUUCUUAGGUAUAAGGGUUGGGUAUACAUUUGUAUAGUCCAUCUUAGGUGGUAAAUACAUAUUUGUCUAAACCUUGUGCAACAAUGUGAUUGUGUAACGAAAAUGGAGCCAGUACAGCUUGAUGGAUUUAAUUAUAUUAAUUAUAUAAUAAUAUUAAUUGGAAAAGUAUUAAGAUUAUAUAACAAAUUAUGCAAUUAACUUGAAAAUAUUCUUACGGGGUAAUUAAUUCAGGAAUAGAAUAGCAUGCUUCAUGAAGUAAGUAUUUACCUAAAAGUUAACUUUAUGAACGCAUCCUUCACCGGGCUGGUCACUGUAUAUCCUCGAACUCAUUGAUGAUUCAUGUCCACCUUUUAAGCCUAAAUUUGAAUUUGAACUUUUGGAUACUGGAAAAAGAGGGGAGGGAGUUACACAUUUUACCGCUACUUGUGUGUCUGUCUGUUGUAUUUAAAAGCAGAUUUUGUAGCACUAGGUAUUUCUUAGACAUGUUUUAUAAAAAUAUUCUUUAUUGUACACUUCAACACAGGAGGUAUUAAGCAACAGGUGGUCUUAUCCUUAAGAAGCUUGUUAUGCCGCUUAUACCCUCCAUCCAGAACGGAGUACCCGCCUUGCCUCCGGCUGGCCUACAAAUAGUAAACGUCGAGUCGUCGCCGCACCGCAUCCUUCGCUGCUUGCUGGUUUAAGAACUCAACGAUGCUGCAGGCUCCAGAUAUAAAACUGUCCUUCUCAGUACAAAUAUAACUGCCCUUUUCAGGGCAACAAACAGACAAACUGCUCUUCUCAGAGCAAUAUCUUCUUUAGCAACAGAGUGGUCAAAGCUUGGAAUAAACUCCCAGAGCAUAUAGUAUUAAUGAGUUUAAGAAUAAAUUAGAUACGCACAAUGCAAAUUCUACUCAACACUGAAAACUUUAUUGAUGACUCCGGAUACAGGCAUUAUCAGUUUUUUCAACUGCCUGCCUGCUUUACAAAUAAUAAUAAUAUUAAACUGUUCUUUUCAGAACAAAUGUCACUGUUUCUAUGUGAGAGUCAGAAUGGCGGGUGUACCUAAAUAAAAUCAAAUGAAAAGCAUACCAUAUUUUUGUACCUAAUUUGUACUAUUUAGUACCUCGUUUAAAAAAAAUUGUACCUCACGGUACGUAAAGUUAUGAUCAAAAAACAGGUCACCCGCCAUCCUGACAGUCAGAAUGGCGGGUGUACUUUAUUACGCUAUGUUCCCGUGGUUAUUGAUAAAUUCUAUAAAAGCCAAAUUUUUGUACCUUUUUUGUACCUUCAUAUUCAAUUAUAAUAUGAGUCAUUUUAUUUGUGCUUUCCAAGUUUUACUCAUUUUAUAUUUUGCUUGCUAUUACAAUUUUGCAGGCGUUAUAAUUUUUCAAGUUAUCGAUUUAAUUUUUAAGAAAAAACGCUAAGGUACAAUUAUUUUUAUUACGCCAGGAUUUAGUACCUUUAAUGUUUAAUCUGUUAAGUUCUAAUAGCUCAGAAAAUCAUGUCUUAAAAAUGAUUUUUCUUAGGAAGAUUUCUUUGAAUUGGCGCCUAGCCUUUUUUAAGACAUGAUUUACUGAGUUAUUUGAACUUAACAGAUUAAACAUUAAAGGUACUAAAUCCUGGCGUAAUAAAAAUAAUUGUACCUUAGCGUUUUUUCUUAAAAAUGAAAUCGAUAAUUUGAAAAAUUAUAACGCCUGCAAAAUUGUAAUAGCAAGCAAAAUAUAAAAUGAGUAAAACUUGGAAAGCACAAAUAAAAUGACUCGUAUUAUAAUUGAAUAUGAAGGUACAAAAAAGGUACAAAAAUUUGGCUUUUAUAGAAUUUAUCAAUAACCACGGGAACAUAGCGUAAUAAAGUACACCCGCCAUUCUGACUGUCAGGAUGGCGGGUGACCUGUUUUUUGGUGAUAACUUUAAGUACCGUGAGGUACAAUUUUUUUUAAACGAGGUACUAAAUAGUACAAAUUAGGUACAAAAAUAUGGUAUGGUUUUCAUUUAAUUUUAUUUAGGUACACCCGCCAUUCUGACUCUCACGUUUCUAUGACAACACAACUUACAAAAUGUUCUUUUCAGAACACUUGGUUCCUGUUUCUAUGUUUAUACACAGAUCUAUGCGUCUUUUUAGCGAUAACACCGUUUGUUGCUUCUACCAAAAUUGUUUAUGUUUCUAUACGGGUACCUGUACCUAUUGUAACCUUGUAAUGUGUGCAAUAAAAAGUAUCGUGUUACCCUCCUGUGUUGUCUUGUACUAUCGUAAUGUUACAAGUCUGGCUCUGUUUAGGAUUGCGUUUUGUGCAAAAUCAGCAAAAUUGUUUCCUUUGAAUACUUAUUAACAAUUUGUUUUAUGAAUAAAGUAAUUUUUAACUUAUUCCUUAUACUUGUGUCGCAUUCUUGGUUUCCAUGCGCUGCUCGUGAGGCUUGAGGCGGCUACCGCAGUCAACACGGAUGCGGCUUUGACGAGACGAGAGUACGCAUGCCGGAGGGGCCCGCGGGCCUGCUUAAAAUGUGAUGAUAGCCUGCGUGCUCUGCUACUCGCCAUCGUCAUCAUGCCAUCAGGCUCGCGGUGGCCACUGCGCUAUAACUGAUGUCGCUCUGACGAUAUAACGCCACGCACGAAUCGAUGUCCCGUUCGCGUACUGGAGCGCCGUGCGGACCCGCAACCUAUUUGAAGAUCGCCCACGUCGCCUGCGUGCGAUGCCGCUCGCGCUGUCAGGGAGGAGUCGAAAAUGAAGCGAUGCCAGCUCGCACAGAAAUGGCUAAAGCUUUAAAACUUGCAGGCUGCUUAGAAAGUCGCCUAAAACAUACUGGCAUAAAGCCCGUCUGCAAAAAGGUAAGACUUGUGUGUUAUUAACUUUUUUAUAUCUUUAUUUGAUUCAAAUAUUUUUAAAGGGAUAUUUGUAAUUAGAUGUAACUGCCAAUAGAAUGAUAAUGUCUCAUUAGAUGGAACUCAAUGAAAGAUUUAUUUCAACAUAUGCGAUAUACAGAGGGUCUACCGCGAAAAACGAAAAGCGUAAUUUCUAUAUCUGCCUCUCUAUCAUUAGAAUAUGCAAGAGCGAUAGAGAAUUUCGAUUUUUGCCUUUCGCGCCGCUUGUGUCUAAUGCCUGCAAUUUGUAAUUAUUAAACUGGCACAUGCAAAGUUUUCUGAGACGCAAGGGGUACCUAGUUAAAAGUGUAGAAGAAAGUGUUUGUAAUGGGUAUGCUAUGGUAACUACGUGGUAACUCUAACUACUUAUUUAUCAGGCGGGCUGGAUUAUAACCUGCUUUAUGUAUGGUGAUUUUAUUAAUAGUUAGAUUUAUAUUAGCUAGCGUGAGGAUUUAUCUGUUAAUAUUAAAAUAUAAUGGAGAUAAUCUAAGCUGAAUUGCGCUGUCUUAUCGUUGCUUCCGUUUAAAUGAAAUGGCAAACUAGGAGUGACCAUCAAGUCAUUGCUAAGCUACCUCCUGCUCCACUGUUUACUGAUUCAAGAAUGCGACGAUCGAUGCUGCAGGCUCCUGAUAUAGAAGGACAGCCUUCUCAGGACAAAUAAAACUGCCCUUUUCAGGGCAACAGACAAACUGCUCUUCUCAGAGCAAUAUGAAACUGUUCUUUUCAGAACAAAUGUCACUGUUUCUAUGACGACACAACUUCAAAAAUGUUCUUUUCAGAACACUUGGUUCCCUGUUUCAAUGACGACGCAACUUCAGAAAUGUUCUUUUCAGAAUGUCUUCUCAACCAGUAAGCAGCGGAGCAGGACGUAGGUAGCAAUGACUUGAUGGUGACUCCUACUCCGCCAUUUCAUUUAAACGAGAGCAACGAUAAGACUUUCAGCUUAGAUUAUAGAAUGUAACAAGUCGGCCGAAGACCUCUAUUUUUAAUCAAAACCCUCAAUAUUAGUUCUGCCUAUUCUAAUAAAUUACUCUUAUGUAUAUUUUAUCCUACUGUCCAUAAAUGUUACAAGUCGCGCUCUAUUUGGGAUUGUUUGAUUUUCUAUGAAUACUUAUACUUGUGACAUAUUCUUGCUUCCCAUGCGCUGCUCGUGAGGCUCGCGGCUACCAUGAAGCGGGUGUGGAUCUGACGAAAGAGCGCGCAAGUGCAGCUAUCUCCCGUCCGCAUCCCGGAGCGGCGCGCGGACCCGCAUCCAAUGCGAUGAUCGCUUGCGUUGCUUGCGUGCUCUGCUGCUCGCCAUCGUCACCAUGCUGUUGAGGACCGGUCCGCGACGGUGGCGCCAUCGCUCGUCUCGGGCUCGCGUGAAAGCUGCUCGGCGCUGCUCUUGCUCCGUGCCUCACUGCAGUGGCACAUCUAUGAUGCUGUCAAGGUACAUCGUUUGCGGCCACCGUCGAGACAGCAGGGCUCCGCGCUCGAGGGUCCACGCCGAAGGCAAGCCUCACUAACAAUUGCGAUCAUGUUAUUUAACGUUUAAAGCCCUGCGAUCUUUGUAUUAGACUGAUGCUUGGCUUGUGAUGUAUCGUUACGUAACUAUUAAUAAUCUUAUAAUAUUACAAUAAAGAUUUUGUUUUAUCUUGCACUUUGAAAAGACUUAUAUAUGUACAUAUGUAUAUCAGUGUCAUUAUAAAUGCGGAGUUAGCUUGGUCUAUUUUCUCUAGAUCAUUAAUUUUGUUAUUAACAUUUUUGCCUGUGCGUAAUCGCAAUUUGAAUAAUAAGACUAGUAAAUAGUAUAAAGUAAUAUUAUAGCCGCAGUUUAGGUAGUAAUAGGUUGUAUAUGUCGAUGUAGAGCCCAACAUUUACUUUGUAGUACUUUAUGCCUCUUGGAUUGGCACUUGUACAUAAUAAAGUCGGCUUUGUAUUUUUAUGAUUGCUUAUCACAACUGUAAACAACAUGAACGUGAUAUUUUAUAUCCCAAAUACUACACAGUUUAAUUGGCUAAUUUGCUACCCAAUCAUGAUUUAUCGAAUUGUUGUGCAAGCUUUUAUUUAACUACCAAGUUGGUUAGUAUGGGUCAAAUCUUAGACGCAAAAUGUAACCCACUUCCCGAUUUCCGAGGGAGUCGAUCUGAUGAUGAAGACAAGAGAUAAUGGCCAUGGGAACUCUGUGAUAAAAUAUAAUUAUAAAAUGACUAGAGCCAAUCGCCGAUCAGUUUUUAGGGUUCCGUAGCCAAAUGGCAAAAAACGGAACCCUUAUAGAUUCGUCAUGUCCGUCUGUCUGUCCGAUUCUGUCACAGCGACUUUUUUCCGAAACUAUAAGAGCUAUACUGUUCAAACUUAGUAAGUGGAUGUAUUCUAUGAACCGCAUUAAGAUGUUCACACAAAAAUAGAAAAAAAACAAUAAAUUUUGGGGGUUCGCCAUACUUAGAACUGAAAUUCAAAAAAUCUUUUUUCAUCAAACCCAUACGUGUGGGGUAUCUAUGGAUAGGUCUUCAAAAAUGAUAUUUAGGUUCCUAAUAUCAUUUUUUUAUAAACUGAAUAGUUUGCGCGAGAGACACUUCUAAAGUGAAAAAAUGUGUCCCCCCCCCCUGUAACUUCUAAAAUAACAGAAUGAAAAAUCUAAAAAAAAUAUAUGAUAUACAUUACCAUGCAAACUUCCACCGAAAAUUGGUUUGAACGAGAUCUAGUGAGUAGUUUUUUUUUAAUACGUCAUAAAAUUAAAAAAAAAUUUUUUUCAUCAAACCCAUACGUGUGGGGUAUCUAUGGAUAGGUCUUCAAAAAUGAUAUUUAGGUUCCUAAUAUCAUUUUUAUCUAAACUGAACAGUUUGCGCGAGAGACACUUCCAAAGUGGUAAAAUGUGUGUCCAAAGUGGUAAAAUGUUGAACAAGAUCUAGCAAGUAGAUUUUUUUUAAUACGCCUCAAAUGGUACGGAACCCUUCAUGCGCGAGUCCGACUCGCACUUGGCCGCUUUUUAAUAAUAUAUAUACUCGUGUAUAUAUAAUUUAUAAUUAUUAAUUACUGUUUACUGUGACAUAAACGCAUAUUGUUUGUGUCAGCGCACCCUAACGUGUGUGUAUA
Cydia pomonella (codling moth) is the source of this 7220-nucleotide long non-coding RNA. RefSeq lists it as uncharacterized. The record is from RefSeq and is a predicted model, not a curated record. Lineage: Eukaryota; Metazoa; Arthropoda; Insecta; Lepidoptera; Tortricidae. The transcript is spliced from 5 exons.